CGAGUGGCGGACGGGUGAGUAAUGUCUGGGAAACUGCCUGAUGGAGGGGGAUAACUACUGGAAACGGUAGCUAAUACCGCAUAACGUCGCAAGACCAAAGAGGGGGACCUUCGGGCCUCUUGCCAUCGGAUGUGCCCAGAUGGGAUUAGCUAGUAGGUGGGGUAACGGCUCACCAAGGCGACGAUCCCUAGCUGGUCUGAGAGGAUGACCAGCCACACUGGAACUGAGACACGGUCCAGACUCCUACGGGAGGCAGCAUG
This 260-nucleotide ribosomal RNA is filed under the name uncultured bacterium. RNAcentral describes it as "partial 16S ribosomal RNA". It matches the Rfam family "Bacterial small subunit ribosomal RNA", at positions 92 to 353 of the family's 1533-position model. The record is from RNAcentral.